GACGAACGCUGACGGCGUGCCUAACACAUGCAAGUCAAGGGGCCUUCGGGUCACUGGCGCACGGGUGAGUAACGCGUAGAUUAUCUACCCAUAUCUCUGACAUAACUGCUGGAAACGGUAGCUAAUAUCAGAUGAGGCCUACGGGUCAAAGUUUUAAUGGAUAUGGAUGAGUCUGCGUCUGAUUAGCUAGUUGGUAGUGUAAUGGACUACCAAGGCUACGAUCAGUAACUGGUCUGAGAGGACGAUCAGUCACACUGGAACUGAGACACGGUCCAGACUCCUACGGGAGGCAGCAGUGAGGAAUUUUUGGACAAUGGGGGAAACCCUGAUCCAGCGACGCCGUGUGUGGGAUGAAUCGGUUAUACCGUGUAAACCACUGUCAGAUGGGAAAAAAAGAAUACUUCUGGAUUCUGGGAUUGUACCAUCAGAGGAAGGACCGGCUAACUACGUG
Molecule: ribosomal RNA, 451 nt
Filed under: uncultured bacterium
Lineage: Bacteria
Description: bacterial SSU rRNA
Rfam family: Bacterial small subunit ribosomal RNA
Source: RNAcentral